ACUCCUACGGGAGGCAGCAGUGGGGAAUAUUGGACAAUGGGCGCAAGCCUGAUCCAGCCAUGCCGCGUGAGUGAUGAAGGCCCUAGGGUUGUAAAGCUCUUUCACCGGUGAAGAUAAUGACGGUAACCGGAGAAGAAGCCCCGGCUAACUUCGUGCCAGCAGCCGCGGUAAUACA
Molecule: ribosomal RNA, 175 nt
Filed under: uncultured Ochrobactrum sp.
Lineage: Bacteria; Pseudomonadati; Pseudomonadota; Alphaproteobacteria; Hyphomicrobiales; Brucellaceae
Description: partial 16S ribosomal RNA
Rfam family: Bacterial small subunit ribosomal RNA
Source: RNAcentral